GGUUUGAUCCUGGCUCAGAACGAACGCUGGCGGCGUGCCUAACACAUGCAAGUCGAACGUGAUCCAGAGCUUGCUCUGGUGAAAGUGGCGCACGGGUGAGUAACGCGUGGAUAACCUACCCUGGUAUCCGGGAUAACAUUCCGAAAGGGGUGCUAAUACCGGAUAAGCCCACGGGCUCUUUGGAGCUUGCGGGAAAAGGUGGCCUCUAUUUAUAAGCUACUGUAUCAGGAUGGGUCCGCGUACCAUUAGCUAGUUGGCGGUGUAACGGACCACCAAGGCGACGAUGGUUAGYUGGUCUGAGAGGAUGAUCAGCCACACUGGAACUGAGACACGGUCCAGACUCCUWCGGGAGGCAGCAGUGGGGAAUUUUGCGCAAUGGGGGAAACCCUGASGCAGCAACGCCGCGUGAGUGAUGAAGGCCUUUGGGUCGUAAAGCUCUGUCAGAGGGGAAGAAAUGAUAUAGUGCUAAUACCACUUUAUCUUGACGGUACCCUCAAAGGAAGCACCGGCUAACUCCGUGCCAGCAGCCGCGGUAAUAC
Molecule: ribosomal RNA, 539 nt
Filed under: uncultured Geobacteraceae bacterium
Lineage: Bacteria; Pseudomonadati; Thermodesulfobacteriota; Desulfuromonadia; Geobacterales; Geobacteraceae
Description: bacterial SSU rRNA
Rfam family: Bacterial small subunit ribosomal RNA
Source: RNAcentral